RNAcentral lists this long non-coding RNA (581 nucleotides) under Marmota monax (woodchuck). The record is from RNAcentral. Lineage: Eukaryota; Metazoa; Chordata; Mammalia; Rodentia; Sciuridae.
AUUGAACCCAGAGCCUUAUGCAGGUGGCUAGCACUAAGCUACAUCCCAGCUCAUGUUUGUUUUGUUAUGGUUUUUGAGAUGGAGUCUUGCUAUGUUGCCCAGGCUGGCCUAGAAUCCUGGACUCAAGAGAUCCUUUGCCUCUCAAGUAGCUGGGACUACAGGUAUGUGCCACCAAACCUGGCUGACACCCCCUCCCCCCUUUUUUUUAAGUUUUUUUUCUUUCUGAAGCCAGUAGUAGACAGGCAGUCAGUAUAGAUAGGUAAAUUGAGUCAGGUCAGGUCAAGGAGGCCAAUUUUGAGUGAAUCCAGGAAGUUGGAGACUGUCCCCUGAAGGAUUAAAAUGCUAAUUCCUUCAGAGCCCUUCCUCCACCCUUAUUGAGAACCUGCCCCUGCACCAACCUGUUGCCAAGGUAACCUGUCCCAGGAACUGCCCCUCCCUACAGGGAGUUAUAAGCUUGUUAGUUACUGUGUCCUUGGCUGCUCCAUCCUGUCCUUCCCACUUCAGCCCACCUGUUGCCCACCUUUUGGCCAUCCCACCUAGCAUUUCCUAGGCCUAGUCAUGUACACAGGAAGGAAAAAGAU